GCAGCCGCGGUAAUACGGGGGAUGCAAGCGUUAUCCGGAUUUAUUGGGUUUAAAGGGUGCGUAGGCGGUGGAUUAAGUCAGCGGUGAAAUUUAGGGGCUCAACCUCUACCGUGCCGUUGAUACUGGUUCGCUAGAAUGCGGAUGCCGUGGGAGGAAUGUGUGGUGUAGCGGUGAAAUGCAUAGAUAUCACACAGAACACCGAUUGCGAAGGCAUCUCACGAAUCCGCUAUUGACGCUGAUGCACGAAAGCGUGGGGAUCAAACAGGAUUAGAUACCCC
Molecule: ribosomal RNA, 278 nt
Filed under: uncultured Christensenellaceae bacterium
Lineage: Bacteria; Bacillati; Bacillota; Clostridia; Christensenellales; Christensenellaceae
Description: partial 16S ribosomal RNA
Rfam family: Bacterial small subunit ribosomal RNA
Source: RNAcentral